AACCUGCCCAAGAGAUCGGGAUAACACCUGGAAACAGAUGCUAAUACCGGAUAANAACAGAUGAUGCCUAUCAACUGUUUAAAAGAUGGUUCUGCUAUCACUCUUGGAUGGACCUGCGGUGCAUUAGCUAGUUGGUAGGGUAACGGCCUACCAAGGCGAUGAUGCAUAGCCGAGUUGAGAGACUGAUCGGCCACAUUGGGACUGAGACACGGCCCAAACUCCUACGGGAGGCAGCAGUU
Molecule: ribosomal RNA, 239 nt
Filed under: uncultured Lactobacillus sp.
Lineage: Bacteria; Bacillati; Bacillota; Bacilli; Lactobacillales; Lactobacillaceae
Description: partial 16S ribosomal RNA
Rfam family: Bacterial small subunit ribosomal RNA
Source: RNAcentral